This 925-nucleotide ribosomal RNA is filed under the name uncultured bacterium. RNAcentral describes it as "bacterial SSU rRNA". It matches the Rfam family "Bacterial small subunit ribosomal RNA", at positions 8 to 916 of the family's 1533-position model. The record is from RNAcentral.
AGAGUUGAUCCUGGCUCAGGAUGAACGCUGGCGGCGUGCCUAUACAUGCAAGUCGAGCGAACAGACGAGGAGCUUGCUCUUUCGACGUUAGCGGCGGACGGGUGAGUAACACGUAGGUAACCUACCUAUAAGACUGGGAUAACUUCGGGAAACCGGAGCUAAUACCGGAUAAUAUUUCGAACCGCAUGGUUCGAUAGUGAAAGAUGGCUUUGCUAUCACUUAUAGAUGGACCUGCGCCGUAUUAGCUAGUUGGUAAGGUAACGGCUUACCAAGGCAACGAUACGUAGCCGACCUGAGAGGGUGAUCGGCCACACUGGAACUGAGACACGGUCCAGACUCCUACGGGAGGCAGCAGUAGGGAAUCUUCCGCAAUGGGCGAAAGCCUGACGGAGCAACGCCGCGUGAGUGAUGAAGGUCUUCGGAUCGUAAAACUCUGUUAUUAGGGAAGAACAAACGUGUAAGUAACUGUGCACGUCUUGACGGUACCUAAUCAGAAAGCCACGGCUAACUACGUGCCAGCAGCCGCGGUAAUACGUAGGUGGCAAGCGUUAUCCGGAAUUAUUGGGCGUAAAGCGCGCGUAGGCGGUUUUUUAAGUCUGAUGUGAAAGCCCACGGCUCAACCGUGGAGGGUCAUUGGAAACUGGAAAACUUGAGUGCAGAAGAGGAAAGUGGAAUUCCAUGUGUAGCGGUGAAAUGCGCAGAGAUAUGGAGGAACACCAGUGGCGAAGGCGACUUUCUGGUCUGUAACUGACGCUGAUGUGCGAAAGCGUGGGGAUCAAACAGGAUUAGAUACCCUGGUAGUCCACGCCGUAAACGAUGAGUGCUAAGUGUUAGGGGGUUUCCGCCCCUUAGUGCUGCAGCUAACGCAUUAAGCACUCCGCCUGGGGAGUACGACCGCAAGGUUGAAACUCAAAGGAAUUGACGG